Molecule: long non-coding RNA, 170 nt
Organism: Sapajus apella (tufted capuchin)
Lineage: Eukaryota; Metazoa; Chordata; Mammalia; Primates; Cebidae
Exons: 4
Source: RefSeq, a predicted model, not a curated record
GGAGAAAAGAUAAGAAGAAUCACCCCAGCACCUGGACCCACUGAGAUUAAGUCAAUUUACUGAGGUUCCAAAGGAAGAUCUUCAGGACUCAGAUCUUAGCUACAGAUUAAAAGAAGUUAAUCACUUAGGUCUUUAGAUGAAUGCACACUUACACGUAGACAAAUAGCUUA